RNAcentral lists this ribosomal RNA (578 nucleotides) under Halicephalobus sp. NK2011_5. RNAcentral describes it as "SSU rRNA". It matches the Rfam family "Eukaryotic small subunit ribosomal RNA", at positions 1026 to 1633 of the family's 1831-position model. The record is from RNAcentral. Lineage: Eukaryota; Metazoa; Nematoda; Chromadorea; Rhabditida; Panagrolaimidae.
CUGACCGUAAACUAUGCCAUCUAACGAGUCGGUAUUGGUUAUUAAUUGCCAUUUUGACGAGUUACCCGGAAACGAAAGUCUUUCGGUUCCGGGGGGAGUAUGGUUGCAAAACUGAAACUUAAAGGGAUUGACGGAAAGUCACCACCAGAAAUGGAGCCUGCGGCUUAAUUUGACUCAACACGGGAAAACUCACCCGGUCUAGACACUAAAAUGAAUGACAGACUGAUAUAUCUCUCAAGAUAUAGUGCAAAGUGGUGCAUGGCCGUUCUUAGUUCGUGGAGUAAUCUGUCUGGUUAAUUUCGAUAACGAACGAGACUAGAACAUAGUUAAUUGUGUGUGAUACCGUACAAAUAUUACACGGUGAUAAAUGGAUAUGCAAAUUAAAUUGCCUGAAAACUGGCAAUAACAGGUCUGUUAUGCCCUUAGUUGUCCGGGGCCGCACGCGCGCUACAAUGGAAAUUGCAGUGCGUAUAUACUAUAUCGAAAGAUAUGGUUAAACGUGUCAAAUUAUUCCGCAUUCGGGAUCGGAGACUGUAAUUGUUUCCGGAACGAGGAACUCAAGUAAGUGUGUGUCAUUA